GGAGGGAGAAGGAAAUGCGAGACUUAUCUGUCCCAAAUUGCAAAUUCUAGGAAAAGAUCAAUACUCCCCCCACCGACCCUGAGCUUCUCCAGCAAGAUAGAGCUUUCUGAUUCCAGCGAAUGGAGAAACAAUGGCGGACGUGGAGACGGAGGCAGCAGUAGCGGGUCAGCCGAAGAAGAGGACGUUCAAGAAGUUCUGCUUCAGGGGCGUCUAUCUCGACAUGUCCAUUGAUGAGCUCGUCAAGCUCUUCCAUGCCCGAGCUAGCAGAAGAUACCUGCAUUACACAUUUUCCGAUAUCUGUUGGUUAUGCUGUCGUGUGAGUUAGGUUCCAGAGAGGUCUCAGGAGGAAGCACAUGGCUGAUGGCUCUCAUUAAGAAGCUGCGCAAGGUGGUAAUGCUGGCUUUCAUUGAUUAUUCUCGUUCUGAUGAGUUCGCAUGUAAUUCCAGAUUGAAGUCGCAUGCCCUUUUCAAUUGCCUUUCUGUAAGCGGUGAGGUCUAUUAUUACAAGCACACAAACUGGGUGCUUCUCUGUGAAUGUGAGGGGGUUUUCCUUGUUGAAUCUGAAAUUGGGCAUCUUUCUUGCGAUUGUUGCUUCAGAAAUUCAAUGGCUUGUAUGGGGGUUUAGUACCUCCAGUGGAAUCAUCAUCGGUCAUGAGUUGCUACUCUUGAUUCAAUUGAAGUCUGUGUAAUUAGUUAUAAGUGAUCCCGGGUGUUGGUUGAUGACUGAAAAGGUUUUUUCACUUAUCUAUUGGCCUCUUCUGAUUUGGUGGUGGGGCCUUUGAGCUAGGGUGCAUAGAUCAAUAGCUGUUAAAUCGGCAGCGGCCAGACAACCGUCGAGAUGGAUCCACAGGAAAGGGAGGCUCCGCCUGGUGAGAAACCUGAACCAGUUCAAACUCACCUGCGCAAUGUGACUAUUGUUCCACAAAUGAUUAGAAGCGUCAUCAGAGAAUAUAAUGGCCAAACCUUCAAUCCAGUGGAAAUAAAGCCUGAAAUGAUUGGCCAUUGCCUGGCCGAAUUCUCCAUCUCUUACAAGCCUGUUAAGCAUGGUAGACCAGGUAUCGGCGCCAUCCAUUCAUCGAGGUUCAUUCCUCUGAAGCGAGUCCACGGGGGCAAAUUCAAAGGUCAUCCUAUGUCUCUUUGUUUUUACCAGAACAGUCAUGAAUCCUGAAAGUCAAUUGCUCUGUUUUUUUGCCUAACAUUGUAUGAGUUUGGAGACAAUCUGAAGCGGAAACCUUCACGUUGUUCAAAUAUAAGGUUUGAUGCUAGUUGGUUAUAGAGGAUACAUUGCAUUAUUCAUUUCCUGUUGAUAUGGCCACAUGAUUAUAAUAUGGUGCAGAACUUUUCUAGUUGUCUUAAUCUACAUCUGCUAAAGGUACAUUUAAACUCUCCGGUAAAUAGAUUUUCACACUCCCGUCGUGUCUGCAAUAGCUAUGAAUGGAGAAACA
RNA transcript from Rhodamnia argentea, 1444 nucleotides. It is a transcript of the gene named 40S ribosomal protein S15-like, with no coding region annotated. The transcript is spliced from 3 exons. NCBI's taxonomy places the organism in Eukaryota, Viridiplantae, Streptophyta, Magnoliopsida, Myrtales, Myrtaceae. The record is from RefSeq and is a predicted model, not a curated record.